UGGGGAAUCUUGCGCAAUGGACGCAAGCCUGAUCCAGCCAUGCCGCGUGAGUGAAGAAGGCCUUCGGGUUGUAAAGCUCUUUUACCAGGGACGAUAAUGACGGUACCUGGAGAAUAAGCCCCGGCAAACUUCGUGCCAGCAGCCGCGGUAAUACGAAGGGGGCUAGCGUUGUUCGGAAUUACUGGGCGUAAAGCGCACAUAGGCGGAUUGUUAAGUCAGAGGUGAGAUCCCGGAGCUCAACUUCGGAACUGCCUUUGAUACUGGCAAUCUAGAGUCCGGAAGAGGUUAGUGGAAUUCCCAGUGUAGAGGUGAAAUUCGUAGAUAUUGGGAAGAACACCAGUGGCGAAGGCGGCUAACUGGUCCGGUACUGACGCUGAGGUGCGAAAGCGUGGGGAGCAAACAGGAUUAGAUACCCAGGUAGUCCCUGAGCGGGCUGGCAAGGCGCAU
Molecule: ribosomal RNA, 447 nt
Filed under: uncultured bacterium
Lineage: Bacteria
Description: bacterial SSU rRNA
Rfam family: Bacterial small subunit ribosomal RNA
Source: RNAcentral